RNAcentral lists this long non-coding RNA (757 nucleotides) under Marmota monax (woodchuck). Lineage: Eukaryota; Metazoa; Chordata; Mammalia; Rodentia; Sciuridae. The record is from RNAcentral.
GUGGUGCUGACGAUCGAACCCGGGCCGCAUGCAUGCCAGGCGAGUGCGCUACCGCUUGAGCCACAUCCCCAGCCCUAUAUAUUUAUUUUCUACAUAUCAAUUUCUCUAUCACUUUCUUUUCUUAUCCUUCUAAUUUCCUGGGGUUUAACUUUCUUUUCUUUUAGCUUCUUAAGAUUGAAGCUUAGAUCAAUGACUUCUCAGUCUUUCUUCUUUUCCAAAAUGUGCAUGUGCCUGUGGAUGUAUCAGCUUCCCUCUGGACACUGCUUUAGCAAUAUUCUGUAAGUUUUGAUGUGUCAUGUUUUCAUAGUCAUUUAUUUAAAAGUAUUUUCUAAUCUCCAUUAUAAUUUCUCCUUCUACCUAUGAGUUAUUUAGAAGCAAUGUCUUCAAAUAGUUUAGAAUUUAGUUUUUUUUGGUUGUUUGUUUGUUUUAAUUCCUAAUUAAUCCUGGGUCAGAGAAUGUAUUCUAUAUUAUUUCAGUCUUUUAACAUUUGUUGAUAACUAUCUUUGUAGCCUAACAUAUAAUAUGUGCACAAAAAUGUUUUCUGCAGUUGUUAGGUACAGAUUCCUAUAUAGGUCAAUUAGAUCAAAUUGAUUAAUUAUGCUGUUUAAAUCUUCAAAAUCCUUACUGAUUAUUUUUGUCUGUUUGUUCCAGCAGUUAUUGAGAUAGCUGUGUUAAAAUCUCUAACUAAAACUGCCUCUUUCUCUUUUCAGUUCUGUCACUUUUACUUUGUAUAUUUGGAAGCUAUGUUAUAAAUGUG